This 373-nucleotide unclassified non-coding RNA is filed under the name soil metagenome. RNAcentral describes it as "partial contains 5.8S ribosomal RNA, internal transcribed spacer 2, and large subunit ribosomal RNA". The stretch from base 1 to 121 matches the Rfam family "5.8S ribosomal RNA", at positions 35 to 154 of the family's 154-position model. The record is from RNAcentral.
GAUGAAGAACGUAGCGAAAUGCGAUAAGUAAUGCGAAUUGCAGAAUUCCAGUGAGUCAUCGAAUCUUUGAACGCACAUUGCGCCCUUUGGUAUUCCGAAGGGCAUGCCUGUUCGAGCGUCAUUAUCACCCCUCAAGCCCUCGGCUUGGUAUUGGACGGUUUGGUGGAGGCCCCCUCGGGGGUUCCUGCCCCUCCCAAAGACAAUGACGGCGGCCUCGUUGGACCCCCGGUACACUGAGUUCUUCACGGGACACGUAUCGGACACAUGGGUUUACGGGACACGGUCUGCCUCCCCUCAGGGAGAAUCUUUCUAAGGUUGACCUCGGAUCAGGUAGGGAUACCCGCUGAACUUAAGCAUAUCAAUAAGCGGAGGA